Molecule: ribosomal RNA, 465 nt
Filed under: uncultured bacterium
Lineage: Bacteria
Description: partial 16S ribosomal RNA
Rfam family: Bacterial small subunit ribosomal RNA
Source: RNAcentral
GACGAACGCUGGCGGCGUGCUUAACACAUGCAAGUCGAACGGAAAGGCUCAUUUGGGGGUACUAGAGUGGCGAACGGGUGAGUAACACGUGAGUAACCUGCACUUGACUUCGGGAUAACUUCAGGAACCUGGGGCUAAUACCGGAUAGGAAUCCUUGCUGCAUGGCGGGGGUUGGAAAGCUUCGGCGGCUUUGGCUGGACUUGCGGCUUAUCAGCUUGUUGGUGGAGGAGUGGCUUACCAAGGCUUUGACGGGUAGCCGGCCUGAGAGGGCGACCGGCCACAAAGGGACUGAGAGACGGCCCAGACGCCUACGGUAGGCAGCAGUGGGGAAUAUUGCGCAAUGGGCGGGAGCCUGAUGCAGCAGCGCCGCGUGCGGGAAGACGGGCUGCGGGUUGAGAACCGCUGUCAGCAGAGGCGAAGCUUGUGGUGACGGUACCUGCAGAAGAAGCACCGGCUAACUACGUG